This 443-nucleotide ribosomal RNA is filed under the name uncultured bacterium. RNAcentral's name for it is "partial 16S ribosomal RNA". It matches the Rfam family "Bacterial small subunit ribosomal RNA", at positions 338 to 795 of the family's 1533-position model. The record is from RNAcentral.
ACUACGGGAUGCUGCAGUGGGGAAUAUUGGACAAUGGGCGCAAGCCUGACCCAGCAACGCCGCGUGAAGGAAGAAGGCUUUCGGGUUGUAAACUUCUUUUCUCAGGGACGAAGAAAGUGACGGUACCUGAGGAAUAAGCCACGGCUAACUACGUGCCAGCAGCCGCGGUAAUACGUAGGUGGCAAGCGUUAUCCGGAUUUAUUGGGUGUAAAGGGCGUGUAGGCGGGAGCGCAAGUCAGAUGUGAAAACUCAGGGCUCAACCCUGAGCCUGCAUUUGAAACUGUGUUUCUUGAGUGCUGGAGAGGCAAUCGGAAUUCCGUGUGUAGCGGUGAAAUGCGUAGAUAUACGGAGGAACACCAGUGGCGAAGGCGGAUUGCUGGACAGUAACUGACGCUGAGGCGCGAAAGCGUGGGGAGCAAACAGGAUUAGAUACCCCUGUAGUC